GGACAGGUGGCCGAGUGGCUGAAGGCGCACGCCUGGAAAGCGUGUAACGGGAAACCGUUCGAGGGUUCGAAUCCCUCCCUGUCCGCCA
RNAcentral lists this transfer RNA (88 nucleotides) under Sinobacterium norvegicum. Its description in RNAcentral is "tRNA-Ser". It matches the Rfam family "tRNA". From Rfam's summary of the family: Transfer RNA (tRNA) molecules are approximately 80 nucleotides in length. Their secondary structure includes four short double-helical elements and three loops (D, anti-codon, and T loops). The record is from RNAcentral. Lineage: Bacteria; Pseudomonadati; Pseudomonadota; Gammaproteobacteria; Cellvibrionales; Spongiibacteraceae.